UACGGAGGGUGCAAGCGUUGUCCGGAAUCACUGGGCGUAAAGGGCGCGUAGGCGGCUCGGUAAGUAGGGGGUGAAAUCCUGCGGCUUAACCGCAGGGCUGCCUUCUAAACUGUCGAGCUCGAGCACGGUAGAGGCAGAUGGAAUUCCCGGUGUAGCGGUGGAAUGCGUAGAUAUUGGGAAGAACACCGGUGGCGAAGGCGGCGACCUGGUCCGAUACUGACGCUGAGGCGCGAAAGCGUGGGGAGCAAACAGG
RNAcentral lists this ribosomal RNA (253 nucleotides) under uncultured bacterium. RNAcentral's name for it is "partial 16S ribosomal RNA". It matches the Rfam family "Bacterial small subunit ribosomal RNA", at positions 524 to 776 of the family's 1533-position model. The record is from RNAcentral.